This 484-nucleotide ribosomal RNA is filed under the name uncultured bacterium. RNAcentral's name for it is "partial 16S ribosomal RNA". It matches the Rfam family "Bacterial small subunit ribosomal RNA", at positions 30 to 507 of the family's 1533-position model. The record is from RNAcentral.
AUUGAACGCUGGCGGCAGGCCUAACACAUGCAAGUCGAGCGGAUGAAGGGAGCUUGCUCCUGGAUUCAGCGGCGGACGGGUGAGUAAUGCCUAGGAAUCUGCCUGGCAGUGGGGGAUAACGUCCGGAAACGGGCGCUAAUACCGCAUACGUCCUGAGGGAGAAAGUGGGGGAUCUUCGGACCUCACGCUAUCAGAUGAGCCUAGGUCGGAUUAGCUAGUUGGUGGGGUAAGGGCCUACCAAGGCGACGAUCCGUAACUGGUCUGAGAGGAUGAUCAGUCACACUGGAACUGAGACACGGUCCAGACUCCUACGGGAGGCAGCAGUGGGGAAUAUUGGACAAUGGGCGAAAGCCUGAUCCAGCCAUGCCGCGUGUGUGAAGAAGGUCUUCGGAUUGUAAAGCACUUUAAGUUGGGAGGAAGGGCAGUAAGUUAAUACCUUGCUGUUUUGACGUUACCAACAGAAUAAGCACCGGCUAACUUCGUG